This 469-nucleotide ribosomal RNA is filed under the name uncultured bacterium. Its description in RNAcentral is "bacterial SSU rRNA". It matches the Rfam family "Bacterial small subunit ribosomal RNA", at positions 28 to 507 of the family's 1533-position model. The record is from RNAcentral.
GAUGAACGCUGGCGGCGUGCCUAAUACAUGCAAGUCGAACGAGGAACUUUAAUCUUCGGAUGGAAGUUUCCUAGUGGCGAACGGGUGAGUAACGCGUUGGUGACCUGCCCCAAAGUGGGGGAUAACAGUUCGAAAGGACUGCUAAUACCGCAUAAGAUCAAUGGGAUUAAAUGCCUGUUGAUUAAAGGCGAAAGUCGCUUUGGGAGGGGCCUGCGUCCCAUCAGCUUGUUGGUAGGGUAAUAGCCUACCAAGGCUAAGACGGGUAGGGGACCUGAGAGGGUGGCCCCCCACACUGGCACUGAAACACGGGCCAGACACCUACGGGUGGCAGCAGUAGGGAAUAUUGGACAAUGGGCGAAAGCCUGAACUAGCAACGCCGCGUGUGCGAAGAAGGCCUUGGGUCGUAAAGCACUUUUUGAGAGGAUGAGGAAGGACGGUACUCUCAGAAUAAGUCUCGGCUAACUACGUG